This 495-nucleotide ribosomal RNA is filed under the name uncultured bacterium. RNAcentral's name for it is "partial 16S ribosomal RNA". It matches the Rfam family "Bacterial small subunit ribosomal RNA", at positions 28 to 507 of the family's 1533-position model. The record is from RNAcentral.
GACGAACGCUGGCGGCGUGCCUAAUACAUGCGAGUAGAACGCUGAAGGAGGAGCUUGCUUCUCUGGAUGAUUUGCGCACGGGUGAGUAACGCGUAGGUAACCCGCCUGGUAGCGGGGGAUAACUAUUGGAAACGAUAGCUAAUACCGCCUAAGAGUAGAUGUUGCAUGACAUUUGCUUAAAAGGUGCAAUUUCAUCACUACCAGUUGGACCUGCGUUGUAUUAGCUAGUUGGUGGGGUAACGGCUCACCAAGGCGACGAUACAUAGCCGACCUGGGAGGGUGAUCGGCCAAACUUGGACUGGGACCAGGGCCAGGCUCCUACGGGAGGCAGCAGUAGGGGAUCUUCGGCAAUGGACGGAAGUCUGACCGAGCAACGCCGCGUGAGGGAAGAAGGUUUUCGGAUCGUAAAACUCUGUUGUAAGAGAAGAACGAGUGUGGGAGUGGAAAGUGCACACUGUGACGGUAUCUUACCAGAAAGGGACGGCUAACUACGUG